CUUUUCUUUUACAUUCACCUUUACACAAAAUAAAUUCAAAACAAAUAAAUACAAAUUACAUUAAUUAAUUUAAAUUUUACAAAACAGUCCCUAAAAGUCCAGAAAUUGCAUUGAAGGACACUGUCGGAACUGCCUGAACUCGUGGCGGCGCGUGAACCCACGCGCCGCCGCAAACAUGCCGGAAACGGGCGGAUCUGCCCUAUUUCCUCCUCCUCCUCCCUUCUCUGCUGGUGGCAUCCUGCAAAACAAGAAAAAGGAAACGCAGGCAGUUCAUUUUAAUCCAUUUCUGUCCAGUUCUUGGAUUUUUCCUUUCUUCUCCAUUUUGGAUCUGCUUCUUUACAGAUCGGUUAUUUUCGUUUCCCCUUGUUCUCUGUUUUAGGCUGCCGGCCGAGUGACCAUAGGGCUGCUGGCGGCGUUCAUGGUGGCUCGCGGGGGGAAUUGCUGCGAUGGAAGAGGAAAUCGUGUGUCUGCCACCGGUUGAAGGAGAUGAUGCCAGCGUUGCCCCGGCGCUGAAUCUGUUCGGCCGUCGCUGCUGUGGAGGGAAACCGAAGGAGAAGCAGCCGUGGCUGAGGAGAUCGUGACCUGGAAGGCGCCGGAGCUGGAAGCUAUGGGAAAGAAGAGAAAAAUAAAUCAAACCCGCGGGGAAGAAGAGUUGUGGCUGGUUCUCCGUGGGGAAAGGAGAGUGGUGUUGUUGGUGGGUCUGUGUUGAUGACCGGGCUGUGGAGAAGGAAGGAAAAUGGAGAUGACGGUGGGGAAAUGGUCUGUCUUUGUUUCUGACAGAGGGGAAGUGAGCAGCGUCUUCUCUGGUUUUUGAAAGGUAGGGGAGGCCGUGACUUUUUUUCUUUUUUGCAGAGGGGAAGUCGGCUGGAAGGAGAAAGGGGAGAGUAUGGGUUUCAGCUGAUUUUGGCUUUUUAGCCGAGAGGAAGACUAAGGAGACGGGAAGAGGGCUGCCUUGGCUUCUCUGGUUUCGACUUUGAAGAUGAGAGAAAAUGUGGAAAUGGUGAUGGCUUGACUUGCUUUGUCAAGGCAAAAGGGGGAUUCGUCGUAGCCUUUUUUUUUAGGAGAAGUGAGAGCGGCUCUGUGUGCAGGCGGCUGUGCAAGGGCUGAGGAGAAAAAAAAUUAAAAGGGGAGCUGGCAGCUGUCAUCGGAGAAGAAGGAAAAAAUUUCCCAAAAAGGGGGGGGCCUCCCUGGCGGCUGUUUUCAGCAGGGAAGAAGAAAAGUUUAGUGUUUUAGGGUUCUCUCCUUUCCCCUAAAAUUACAAAAUGAACCCCCCCCACAAAAUGAGUUAAAAACUGCUAUUUAUAGGCAAAACAUUUUUUCGGGUUUCCAAAUCGGUCCCCAAUUUUUUUGUGUUCAAUUGACUUGGUAAAAAUUAAAUUUGAUCUUAAAAUUUUAAUCUUUUCAAUUCAGUCCAAAUUAAGCUCCCAAACUUAAUUUUUCACCAAUUAAGCCCCCAAAUUAAUUUGACCCAUUUAAAGUAUAAUCAAGUCCUUGCACUUAAUUAAAUCCUUCAAUUAGACCUAAAUUAAUUCUUAAACAUAAUUAAAAUUUAAUUUGGCCCAUGAUUAAAUCAAAUUGGCCCAUUAAAAAUUUAAUUAUGUCAUUGGACUUAAUUUUUAUGCAAAUUCAUCCAAUAAUCAUUUGAUUUGACCUUCGAAUAUGCAUUUAAUUUGACCUUCGAUUUUUGCCUAUUUUUGCAGUCUUUUUUUAUUGGAUUUCUCCGCAGUGCCAGCCUUUAUUUUAUUUUUUAUUUUUUUUAUUUUAAAAAAAGUGAAAUUUAGGGAAUAACCCAAAAUUGGGUUAUGACAGUUGCCCCCCUCUUUACAAUGCUUAUGAUAGAAAGUCUCGUAGGGGACUUUAGAUAGUAAGCGUUGUAAAGAAGAAAAAAUGAAGAUGUUUUUUUUUUUUUUUUUUUUAAAUUCAAAGAUUUUGAAAUGGUCGAAUUGUCAUGGGUGACCCACCCGGGUGAAAAACACGAAGAUGUUUUAAAGUGGUGAGAAAUACGAAGAUUUCUAAAAAUGGUUUUAUUGUUAUGGGCAACCGGCCCAGAUGAAAGGUUUUGAAAAAUACGAAGAUUUUUUCAAAUAGGUGAAAAAUGCAGAGAUUUUUCAAAGUGGUGAGAAAUGCAAAGAUUUCUCAAGAUGGUGAAAAAUUUUAGAGGUGGUGAGAAAUGCAAAGAUUUCUCAAAAUGAUGAAAAAUGCAAAGAUUUUUCAAAGUGGUUUUGUUGUAAUGGGCAAACGGCCCAAUUGAAAGGUUUUGAAAAAUACAAAGAUUUUUUCAAAGAGGCGAAAAAUGCAGAGAUUUUUCAAAGUGGUGAGAAAUACGAAGAUUUCUAAAAAUGGUUUUAUUGUUAUGGGCAACCGGCCCAGAUGAAAGGUUUUGAAAAAUACAAAGAUUUUUUCAAAUAGGUGAAAAAUGCAGAGAUUUUUCAAAGUGGUGAGAAAUGCAAAGAUUUCUCAAGAUGGUGAAAAAUUUUAGAGGUGGUGAGAAAUGCAAAGAUUUCUCAAAGUGGUGAAAAAUUCCAAGAUUUUUCAAAGUGGUGAGACAUACAAAGAUUUCUCAAAGUGGUGAAAAAUGCAGAGAUUUUUCAAAGGGGUGAAAAAUACAGAGAUUUUUCAAAGUGGUGAGAAAUGCAAAGAUUUCUCAAAGUGGUGAGAAAUGCAAAGAUUUCUCAAAGUGGUCUUGUUGUGAUGGGCAACCGGCCCAAGUGAAAAAGUUUGAGAGUGGGGAGAAAUGCAAGGAUUUCUCAAAAUUGGUGAAAAAUGUAAAGAUUUUUCAAGGUGAUGAAAAAUGCAGAGAUUUUUCAAAGUGGUUUUAUUGUUAUGGGCAACCGGCCCAAAUGGAAGAUGAAAAGAGUUUUGAAAGAAGUCUGAUUAUAAUGGGUGACCUGCCCGGGCAAAAAGAUAAAAUGUCUGAAAAGGACGACAUGAUAGGACUCGAUGGGGGAACGAGGGCUGAAGAGCGCACUCGAAAGGAGGUAGGGUUAGAAAAACACACUACCUAAGAGGUGAAUGCUCCAAGGCGCACUCUAAAGGAGGUAAAUAGGGCUAGAAAGCACACUACACAAGAGGUGAGGGCUCGAAGGAGCUCUCAAAAAGAGAGCAGGGUUGGAAAACACACUACCUAAGAGGUGAGGGCUCGAAGGAGCAUUCGAAAGGAGGUAAGGUUGGAAAACGCACUACCUAAAGUGGUGAGGGCUCAAAGGAGCAAUCAGAAGGAGGUAGGGUUAGAAAAAUACACUGCCUAAGAUGUGAGGGCUCGAAGGAGCAUUCAAAAGGAGGUAAGGUUGGAAAACGCACUACCUAAAAUAGUCGAAGGCUCAAAGGUGUACUAAAAAAGGAGGCAGGGUUGGAAAACACACUACCUAAAGGUGAUCGAGGGCUCAAAGGUGCACUCGAAAAGAGGUAAGGAGGUAAGGUUGGAAAACGCACUACCUAAGGUGGUUAAUGGCCCUAAGGCGCACUUAAAAGGAGAUAGGGUUGGAAAACACACUACCUAAAGUAGUUGAUGGCCCUAAAGCGCACUUAAAGAGAGGUAGGGUUAGAAAACAUGCACUACCUAAGAUGGGAGGGCUCGAAGGAGCUCUCAAAAGGAAGUAGGGUUAGAAAACACACUACCUAAAGGGGUUAGGGCUCGAAGGCACACUAAAAAAGAGGUAGGGUUAGAAAACACACUACCUAAAGUGGUCGAUGGCCCUAAGGCGCAUUUAAAAGGGAGAGGUAAGGUUAGAAAACACACUACCUAAAGGGGUUGUUAGCUUGAAGGCGCGCUAAAAAAGAGGCAGGGUUGGAAAACGCACUACCUAAGAUUAUUGGGGGCUCUAAAGCGCAUUUAAAAAGGAGAUAGGGUUAAAAACGCACUACCUAAGCGUUGAAGGCUCUAAGGCGCACUCAAAAGGGGAGGUAGGGUCAGAAAACACACUACCUAAGAUGGUUGGGGGCUCUAAAGCGCACUAAAAAAGGAGGUAUGGUUAGAAAACACAUUACCUAAGGGGUGAGGGCUAAAAGACGCCCUCAAAAGGAGGUAGGGUUGAAAAACACACUACCUAAAAGGUUAGGGCUCAAAGGCACACUAAAAAAGAGGUAGGGUUAGAAAACACACUACCUAAGGGGUGAGGGCUAAAAGACGCCCUCAGAAGGAGGUAGGGUUGGAAAACACACUACCUAAAAGGUUAGGGCUUCAGCAACUCGCUCAAAAAGAGGUGAUGGUGAGACACCGAUCUAUCAAGGAUGAAAGAAAUGCAUCAUGAUCAAUAUAUGCAUGUAUACUUACCUGAGAAGUAUAGGUCCCCUUUUCUUCAUCGAGUUCUCCUUUUCUCAAGAGUUUGAGUCUCUGAUAGUAAGCUUUGAUGGCUUUUGUCCCCUUGCUUACUCGAGAAAUAUCUUACAAUCUUGGCCUCUAGGAAAGUUGAUGUCAUCACUUCUUUGUUCUCCGCCCCUUUUAUCCCAAGGGUUGCCAAUUUUGCCCAAUAGUUUCUUCGAAAGGGAAUCAUGGAGCCAGCUCUACCAAAUGUUUUUGAUUGCCCCCUAGCUUGAUCAUGCCCCCAAGUAUUCAAUUCGGGUUUGGGGAUGAGGCUAUAUGAAGGAAGGUUUGGUUUUUGACAAGGAGCUGUUUUCAUGCAGAAUUUUUGGAAUUUCAAAGCUAUUCCAGACACAGAAAUCAUUUUGACAUCGAUUCAAAGCGAACUCAUUCUGAAGAAAUUCAAGUGAUUCCUAUGGAGAGGUUUUCAGAAGUGAUGAAAACUUUUUGUUUUGAUUUUGGUGAAAAAAUAUGAAGUGACAUUUGGUUGGUCACAAAAAGUUGAAAUUUCAAUGAAGUGACAUCUGGUUGGUCACAAAAGGUUUAAAUUUCAAUGAAGUGACAUCUGGUUGGUCACAAAAGGUUUAAAUUUCAAUGAAGUGACAUCUGAUUGGUCACAAAAGGUUUAAAUUUCAAUGAAGUGACAUCUGGUUGGUCACAAAAGGUUUGAAUUUCAAUGAAGUGACAUCUGGUUGGUCACAAAAGGUUUGAGUUUCAAUUUGAGGGUUAUUGAGAACCGUUUUCAAAGCAGUCAUUUUAUUUGCAUGAAUAAUGAUUUUAUUUCGCAUGAGAAAGCACUGCCUACCGAUCCAGAUUGCCUGCCUUUGAUCAGAAAGGGCUUCAUUAGGCACGUAAUGUAGGCUUGGGCUUUUGGCUAUGAAGAAAAUGAUAUAUAUAGGCUCAAAAGGUGUUUAAGGGACUUUAAGACUAAGGAUCACAAGUGCUUAUAUCCCAAACUCUUUUGUUCAUACAUUUCUGGACCUUGGAAUUGAUUUGUAAAAAUGUCCACGGUGCCCCCAGUGUUGGGCUUGGGCUCUUUCUCUUUGUUUUCUUCAUUUGAUUUUGAGCAUCAUUGCAUUGGCCUUUGUUUUUUGCUCAAAUUUUUGAUCCUUUGGAUUUUUUCAUGCCACCUAGCUUUGUAUGGGCACCUUUGAUGAUUGAGAUUUCUUUUAUGCCCCCUAUUGUUUGGGCACUUCAUCGUUGAAGACUUUUUCAUGCCCCCAAGAGUUAUUUGGGCACUUUCAAUCAUUAUGGAUUUUUAGCACUUGCCCCCCAGUGUAGGGUGUGAUCCUAGCCAAGGUUAUUUUUCAAGAAAAAUUUAUUAGGCUCAAAAGGGACUGCAAAUGAUAUAUUUCAGCCUUUGAAAGGAUUAUCAAAGAUGACCUUUCUCAUCUCAAAUGCAUGCAUUUAGGAUCGGUAAGCCUUGCUUUCAUGCGAUAUGCAAGUGAUUUCUCAUUAUUCAUGCAAUAAAACCCAGCUUUUGGAGUCACUUCAUGGUGUUUUUUUGGGUUUUCUAGGUGUAUGGUUACCUCUCUAAGGAAUCACCUGAAUUUCCAGAAUCGUUGUUUCGACAAACAUCAACAUGAUUUCUGUUUUGUACUAAACUUUGAAUUCCCAAAAAUCCUUAUGAAAACAUGGGUCCUGUUUUGUUUUGGGAAGAAAAGGGAAACACACCACAAGAUUUGGCGCGUGGUUUCAUGCUUAAAGUUACGCUCAAUGUGUUAUUUGCAUGAAACAACAAAAAAUGAAAGCAUGUGAAAACACAGAAAACACAUAUAUAACAAGAAAGGCUCAGGACAGGAAAGUCUUGUGGAAUUUUGAGCCAAAUUACCAACAAAAACUGGAUAGGUUGAAACAAAAAAAUCAAGUUUUGGAGGCAUGAUCAAACAGAGGUAGUUAUUGGCAGAGCAAGAACAGCUCUUCUGCAACGGUGAUGCAAUUCCCCUUCAGAAUUGUGUUGAGGCUUUUGAUCAUGUGGCCCCUAAUUUCUUCGGGUUGAGUUGGGGCUGAACAAAAAUACUGGCAUUGGAAGACCUUCACUAGAGCAUCUAUGUCUCGAGUAAGCUAAGUGAGGAGCCACACUGCUUUCAGAGACCUAACUCUUGAAAUGGAUGCUGCGGUGAGCACGCUCUUUGUCUCCAAUGUUUUUUCUCUCAAAAUCAGGUUGUAGACUCGGAGGGACCUACUUAUUCUGGUGCAUGCAUGACAAAAUGUAUGAACAUGAAGUCUAUAUGAUGAACUCGCCCUUCGAGGUACAACAUGGUCGUAACUCUUGUAUGAUGGAACAAGAAUUGAUUUUUGCCCAAACUCUACAAUGAAAAUUUUCCGAGUGACGACCAAUGUGUCACCCACAAAUCUUGAGUUCAAGAUGCUUCAAGAAGGGUUCGCCCCGAUGCAAAUAAAUGAUAGCACAUACAACCUAAGAACAAGUUCUAUUCAUUGUGUGAACAUGGGUAGGUUUUCUACCUGGUCUCAAAAGGGUCUAUGAAUUGCCCAGUGACGACCUCACGUGAAGGCAGUAUAGGGGUUUACAAGGAAUGGUUGGGGCACCAUGUGACCGCCAUUACCAAAAUAAACACUCAGCUCAUAGUUGGAUGUUUCACAAAUCUGAACCCCGACUGAAAGUCAUGAGGUAGACUGCUACUCCCCACCUAACUUAGAAGCUUGUGUGUGCUUUCAAAAAUAAAUACAAGUGAUGCGUGAAACAAUUCUAAAAAUGCAUGCAUAAAAUAAAGCAAGACAAAAAUAGCAAAAUUUAAACACAUCAAAUACACAAAGCUUAGUCCAAUAUUGUCAGAAACAGUACCUCCCCAGUGGAGUCGCCAUUCUGUUGCACGUCGAAAAAUCCGGCGCGCGGCAAUCGGCUGGCGAUUAUAUGUCUCGUUGUUUGUAUUGCUUGAAUUGGUUCGUUGGGAGUCGCCACCUAGUAUUUAAUUGAGGUUACUAGGAAACCCUGGUGGACUGGUCAUGGUCAGAGAUUUGCGGGUAAGGGACUGAUUGUGGUUAGGGAAGGUGUUAGCACCCCUAACGCACCCUACCUGAGGUAAGCUGCUUCGUGGACUUGAUAUGUUAAAAAAGUUUUAAAAUUUUUGUCUUUUCAUCGGAUUUUAGAAAUACAACUUCCGUACAAGUUUGUACUUCUACACCGUGAUCCAAUCAAAAUAUUAAAUCCUUCUUUAUUCUUUGUUGUCUCAUCAAAAAAACAAUUCAUUAAACAAAUGUAUACAUGCAUCUUUUAUUAUAUAUUUCUUUCUUUUUCUUUUUCUUUUCUUUUAAUUCAAUAACAUACAUAAAAAAAUACAAACACACACAUACAUCUCUUUUUUAUUAUUUUUCUUUUCUUUUCUUUUACAUUCACCUUUACACAAAAUAAAUUCAAAACAAAUAAAUACAAAUUACAUUAAUUAAUUUAAAUUUUACAAAACAGUCCCUAAAAGUCCAGAAAUUGCAUUGAAGGACACUGUCGGAACUGCCUGAACUCGUGGCGGCGCGUGAACCCACGCGCCGCCGCAAACAUGCCGGAAACGGGCGGAUCUGCCCUGUUUCCUCCUCCUCCUCCCUUCUCUGCUGGUGGCAUCCUGCAAAACAAGAAAAAGGAAACGCAGGCAGUUCAUUUUAAUCCAUUUCUGUCCAGUUCUUGGAUUUUUCCUUUCUUCUCCAUUUUGGAUCUGCUUCUUUACAGAUCGGUUUUUUCGUUUCCCCUUGUUCUCUGUUUUAGGCUGCCGGCCGAGUGACCAUAGGGCUGCUGGCGGCGUUCAUGGUGGCUCGCGGGGGGAAUUGCUGCGAUGGAAGAGGAAAUCGUGUGCCACCGGUUGAAGGAGAUGAUGCCAGCGUUGCCCCGGCGCUGAAUCUGUUCGGCCGUCGCUGCUGUGGAGGGAAACCGAAGGAGAAGCAGCCGUGGCUGAGGAGAUCGUGAC
Molecule: long non-coding RNA, 8217 nt
Filed under: Populus tremula
Lineage: Eukaryota; Viridiplantae; Streptophyta; Magnoliopsida; Malpighiales; Salicaceae
Description: long non-coding RNA (PTRE_LNC003029)
Source: RNAcentral